Molecule: ribosomal RNA, 622 nt
Filed under: Salmonella enterica
Lineage: Bacteria; Pseudomonadati; Pseudomonadota; Gammaproteobacteria; Enterobacterales; Enterobacteriaceae
Description: bacterial SSU rRNA
Rfam family: Bacterial small subunit ribosomal RNA
Source: RNAcentral
AAAUUGAAGAGUUUGAUCAUGGCUCAGAUUGAACGCUGGCGGCAGGCCUAACACAUGCAAGUCGAACGGUAGCACAGAGAGCUUGCUCUCGGGUGACGAGUGGCGGACGGGUGAGUAAUGUCUGGGAAACUGCCUGAUGGAGGGGGAUAACUACUGGAAACGGUGGCUAAUACCGCAUAACGUCGCAAGACCAAAGAGGGGGACCUUCGGGCCUCUUGCCAUCAGAUGUGCCCAGAUGGGAUUAGCUAGUUGGUGAGGUAACGGCUCACCAAGGCGACGAUCCCUAGCUGGUCUGAGAGGAUGACCAGCCACACUGGAACUGAGACACGGUCCAGACUCCUACGGGAGGCAGCAGUGGGGAAUAUUGCACAAUGGGCGCAAGCCUGAUGCAGCCAUGCCGCGUGUAUGAAGAAGGCCUUCGGGUUGUAAAGUACUUUCAGCGGGGAGGAAGGUGUUGUGGUUAAUAACCGCAGCAAUUGACGUUACCCGCAGAAGAAGCACCGGCUAACUCCGUGCCAGCAGCCGCGGUAAUACGGAGGGUGCAAGCGUUAAUCGGAAUUACUGGGCGUAAAGCGCACGCAGGCGGUCUGUCAAGUCGGAUGUGAAAUCCCCGGGCUCAACC